GAGGAAUAUUGGUCAAUGGGUGCAAGCCUGAACCAGCCAUCCCGCGUGAAGGACGACUGCCCUAUGGGUUGUAAACUUCUUUUGUUUAGGGAUAAACCUACCCUCGUGAGGGUAGCUGAAGGUACUAUACGAAUAAGCACCGGCUAACUCCGUGCCAGCAGCCGCGGUUAUACGGAGGGUGCACGCGUUAUCCGGAUUUAUUGGGUUUAAAGGGUCCGUAGGCGGACUUAUAAGUCAGUGGUGAAAGCCUGUCGCUUAACGAUAGAACUGCCAUUGAUACUGUAAGUCUUGAGUAUAUUUGAGGAAGCUGGAAUAAGUAGUGUAGCGGUGAAAUGCAUAGAUAUGACUUAGAACACCAAUUGCGAAGGCAGGUUACCGAGAUAUAACUGACGCUGAGGGACGAAAGCGUGGGGAGC
This 416-nucleotide ribosomal RNA is filed under the name uncultured bacterium. RNAcentral describes it as "bacterial SSU rRNA". It matches the Rfam family "Bacterial small subunit ribosomal RNA", at positions 356 to 769 of the family's 1533-position model. The record is from RNAcentral.